This 264-nucleotide ribosomal RNA is filed under the name uncultured bacterium. Its description in RNAcentral is "partial 16S ribosomal RNA". It matches the Rfam family "Bacterial small subunit ribosomal RNA", at positions 793 to 1055 of the family's 1533-position model. The record is from RNAcentral.
GUCCACGCCGUAAACGAUGAAUACUAGGUGUCGGAAAGCACAGCUUUUCGGUGCCGCCGCAAACGCAUUAAGUAUUCCACCUGGGGAGUACGUUCGCAAGAAUGAAACUCAAAGGAAUUGACGGGGACCCCGCACAAGCGGUGGAGCAUGUGGUUUAAUUCGAAGCAACGCGAAGAACCUUACCAAGUCUUGACAUCCCGGUGACCGGACAGUAAUGUGUCCUUUUCUUCGGAACACCGGUGACAGGUGGUGCAUGGUUGUCGU